GACGAACGCUGGCGGCGUGCUUAACACAUGCAAGUCGAACGGAAAGGCCCUGCUUUUGUGGGGUGCUCGAGUGGCGAACGGGUGAGUAACACGUGAGUAACCUGCCCUUGACUUUGGGAUAACUUCGGGAAACUGGGGCUAAUACCGGAUAGGAGCUCCUGCUGCAUGGUGGGGGUUAGAAAGUUUCGGCGGUUGGGGAUGGACUCGCGGCUUAUCAGCUUGUUGGUGGGGUAGUGGCUUACCAAGGCUUUGACGGGUAGCCGGCCUGAGAGGGUGACCGGCCACAUUGGGACUGAGAUACGGCCCAGACUCCUACGGGAGGCAGCAGUGGGGAAUAUUGCACAAUGGGCGGAAGCCUGAUGCAGCAACGCCGCGUGCGGGAUGACGGCCUUCGGGUUGUAAACCGCUUUCGCCUGUGACGAAGCGUGAGUGACGGUAAUGGGUAAAGAAGCACCGGCUAACUACGUG
This 468-nucleotide ribosomal RNA is filed under the name uncultured bacterium. RNAcentral describes it as "partial 16S ribosomal RNA". It matches the Rfam family "Bacterial small subunit ribosomal RNA", at positions 28 to 507 of the family's 1533-position model. The record is from RNAcentral.